Long non-coding RNA from Rhipicephalus microplus (southern cattle tick), 460 nucleotides. Lineage: Eukaryota; Metazoa; Arthropoda; Arachnida; Ixodida; Ixodidae. The record is from RefSeq and is a predicted model, not a curated record.
UUGCGCCUCAGUGCCACGCUCUUGCGAAGAUCAUUUUCACACCGCCGCCAUUCACAGUACCACAAUGAGUCCUUUUAUAAUCCGGUACGGAUACGCAACAGGCUUUCUUUCGAGAUCAGCAGUGUGUAUAACAGGAUCGGCAUAUCGUUUUGAUAACUGCCGUUAUCUAAACGAAAGCUGUGGAAGAUCUCCCAGGAACAAAUUGCCGUCAUAAAGUGCAUGGCCAGACAAGUACGACAGCGUUGAUCGAGCAAACCAGGAAAUCGCCCAACACGAGGAGAAAAGUGGAAAAGGUUUUUUUUAUAACCGAAGCCCAUGGCGGUGUUACGAAUCGUUGUCGACUUGUGGACUUGGUUUUUAAAUUAAAGCUUAAACUGAUGGCAGCAAGAAGCCAAGAUGUACACAGCCGAAUUUCGAUGAAUGUAAAAAAAUUGAAAUAAAAUAGACUUCUGAUGCACUC